Molecule: ribosomal RNA, 459 nt
Filed under: uncultured bacterium
Lineage: Bacteria
Description: partial 16S ribosomal RNA
Rfam family: Bacterial small subunit ribosomal RNA
Source: RNAcentral
CCUACGGGCGACUGCAGUGAGGAAUAUUGGUCAAUGGCCGGAAGGCUGAACCAGCCAAGCCGCGUGAAGGACGCAGGUGCCAAGCAUUGUAAACUUCUUUUGUCAAGGGACAAAAUCAGGCUCGAGAGCCUGACCGAGGGUACUUGAAGAAAAAGCCUCGGCUAACUCCGUGCCAGCAGCCGCGGUAAUACGGAGGAUGCGAGCGUUCUCCGGAUUUAUUGGGUUUAAAGGGUGCGUAGGCGGACUUUUAAGUCAGCGGUAAAAGCCCGGGGAUCAACCCCGCUCCGCCGUUGAAACUGUGUACAUUGAGUGCGCGAAGGGUAGGCGGAAUGCGUGGUGUAGCGGGGAAAGGCAUAGAUAUCACGCAGAACUCCGAUCGCGAAGGCAGCCUACCGGCGCGCAACUGACGCUCAUGCACGAAAGCGUGGGUAUCGAACAGGAUUAGAUACCCUGGUAGUC